CCCUAGCCCAGAUAGAAGCGGCAUCCUUUUCCUUUUUUCUUUAAAAAGGAAAAGAUAUAGCGGAUAGCUGGAAAUAGC
This is a small RNA of Hucho hucho (huchen), 78 nucleotides long. The record is from Ensembl. NCBI's taxonomy places the organism in Eukaryota, Metazoa, Chordata, Actinopteri, Salmoniformes, Salmonidae.